RNAcentral lists this non-coding RNA (29 nucleotides) under Homo sapiens (human). The record is from RNAcentral. Lineage: Eukaryota; Metazoa; Chordata; Mammalia; Primates; Hominidae.
UNCUGACAGCCAUCGUGCAGGUGCUCAGC